RNAcentral lists this ribosomal RNA (468 nucleotides) under uncultured bacterium. RNAcentral's name for it is "bacterial SSU rRNA". It matches the Rfam family "Bacterial small subunit ribosomal RNA", at positions 330 to 795 of the family's 1533-position model. The record is from RNAcentral.
ACCAGACUCCUACGGGAGGCAGCAGUGAGGAAUAUUGGUCAAUGGGCGGGAGCCUGAACCAGCCAAGCCGCGUGAGGGAAGAAGGUACAGCGUAUCGUAAACCUCUUUUGUCAGGGAACAAAGGCGGGGACUAGUCCCCGGAUGAGGGUACCUGAAGAAAAAGCAUCGGCUAACUCCGUGCCAGCAGCCGCGGUAAUACGGAGGAUGCGAGCGUUAUCCGGAUUUAUUGGGUUUAAAGGGAGCGUAGAUGGGUUGUUAAGUCAGUUGUGAAAGUUUGCGGCUCAACCGUAAAAUUGCAAUUGAUACUGGCAGUCUUGAGUGCAGUUGAGGUAGGCGGAAUUCGUGGUGUAGCGGUGAAAUGCAUAGAUAUCACGCAGAACUCCGAUUGCGAAGGCAGCAUGCCGGCUCCACACUGACGCUGAGGCACGAAAGCGUGGGUAUCGAACAGGAUUAGAUACCCUCGUAUAA